UCCAAGGAGGCGUGCCAGAGCGGCCGAAUGGGACUCACUGCUAAUGAGUUGUCCUCUUACCGGGGACCGGAGGUUCAAAUCCUCUCGCCUCCGCCAACGAGGCGAUCGCGAGUGCGGCGUAAGCCGGGCGAAGCGGGUCGCCACAAUGUACGAGACAAGUGAACACAGGCGCCCGUAGCUCAACGGAUAGAGCAUCUGACUACGGAUCAGAAGGUUGGGAGUUCGAAUCUCUUCGGGCGCGCUCAGGGCAGGCGCGCUCAGGGCAUGAUGCGCGGGGCCGUGGCGUCGGCUCGGCUCUUAUCAACCGCUUUGCUGGACGAGCUCGCCGCGACGGACUGCAACUAAUGCCGGUUACCGAAAUCAUUCGCAGUUGGCCUCCGACGUGAACCCAGCCAUUAACCGCAGGCAGAUCGACGAACCGGCAGUUCCAGCGCGUGUCAGCCUCGAGACCUAGCUUGAACUUACGUAGAUGUAAUUCAGGAAAACUCGCGUAAACCUGAACAUUUGGCCCGCAAUUCAAGAUAGCCUGCAUGUCUGGCCAGCUCGUUCAGGAAAUGGCCUUAAACUUGAAUGGUGGAUCUGGAC
This 585-nucleotide transfer RNA is filed under the name Mycobacterium branderi. Its description in RNAcentral is "transfer-messenger RNA". The stretch from base 169 to 241 matches the Rfam family "tRNA". The record is from RNAcentral. Lineage: Bacteria; Bacillati; Actinomycetota; Actinomycetes; Mycobacteriales; Mycobacteriaceae.